RNAcentral lists this long non-coding RNA (800 nucleotides) under Bos taurus (domestic cattle). Its description in RNAcentral is "long non-coding RNA NONBTAT024734". Lineage: Eukaryota; Metazoa; Chordata; Mammalia; Artiodactyla; Bovidae. The record is from RNAcentral.
ACUAAAAAGUUUCCAUGAUAAAACAAUGUAUGUGUAUACACAUCACUAUAGUAAUAGGCUUGCCUUGCAACCUACAUCUGCAAAUUUGCUUUUAAAAUAUGUCAGAAUGCUAAAACUUAGAUGUGAAAAUUGUGUGUGUAUGUGUGUUUGAAUGAACCUUUUAUUUUAGAAUAGGAAACAUGGUAGUUAUGGCAAACAAAAUAUAGAAAGAUUGGCUUAAAAAUUUGAAUGGAUUUUGAGAAAAAGCUACUUUGGGAGCCUUUUUUUGUAAACAUUUCAUUUUUUGUGGGAUAUGAAUCAUGUGUUGGAAUCACCUGAUUUAGCUGUGGUAUAACUAAGUCUGGAGGUUUUGGGGGACACUCUGUUUUUAAACUUCCCUACCACCAAUCAUGAUUAUGGUUACAUGAGAUUCGUGUCUUAAAAAAAGAGAUCUGUGUCCCAAAGCUCUGGAAUUAUUUAAACCAUGUACUUUGGAAGCUCAUCUUUGUUCUGUUUGAGCCAUAAUGUUAUGUCUACUUUUACCACAAUCAUAUGGAUAAGGAACUGUCAGGUCAGGCCCUCUCCCAUCAUGCAACAAUGUAGAAUCUGCUUUAUAAAGUCAAUGGAAAACUCUCUUCUUGCUUUAUGAAGAGGUCAGAGAUAAAUAUUCCAGUGCAUUUCUUAAAACAAUGGAGAUAAUGUUGUUUUUUUUUAAUAAGAAAAAAGUAUUCAUAAAAAUUUGGGAGAGAGUUAUAGUGGGCCCUUGAAAAUACUUGUGGUUAAAAGUGUGGUGCUAUUAUAUUUUUGCAAAUGUGAGACGU